This 307-nucleotide unclassified non-coding RNA is filed under the name plant metagenome. Its description in RNAcentral is "partial contains 5.8S ribosomal RNA, internal transcribed spacer 2, and large subunit ribosomal RNA". The stretch from base 1 to 105 matches the Rfam family "5.8S ribosomal RNA", at positions 50 to 154 of the family's 154-position model. The record is from RNAcentral.
GAAAUGCGAUAAGUAAUGUGAAUUGCAGAAUUCAGUGAAUCAUCGAAUCUUUGAACGCACAUUGCGCCCGCCAGCACUCUGGCGGGCAUGCCUGUUCGAGCGUCAUUUCAACCCUCAGAACCCCUUGCGGGAUCUGGCGUUGGGGAUUGGCAUCCAGCCAGCCCCGAAAUCUAGUGGCGGUCCCUCCGCGACCUCCCCUGUGCAGUAGCGAUACCUCGCAGCGGGACAGCGGUCUGACCACGCCGUAAAACCCCCAACUUCUCAAGGUUGACCUCGAAUCAGGGAGGAAUACCCGCUGAACAUAAGC